CCCGGGGAUCCGAUUCCUACGGGAGGCAGCAGUGGGGAAUAUUGGACAAUGGGCGCAAGCCUGAUCCAGCCAUGCCGCGUGAGCGAUGAAGCCCUUCGGGGUGUAAAGCUCUUUCACCGGAGAAGAUAAUGACGGUAUCCGGAGAAGAAGCCCCGGCUAACUUCGUGCCAGCAGCCGCGGUAAUACGAAGGGGGCUAGCGUUGUUCGGAAUUACUGGGCGUAAAGCGCACGUAGGCGGAUAUUUAAGUCAGGGGUGGAAUCCCAGAGCUCAACUCUGGAACUGCCAUUGAUACUAUUGAUCUUGAAUACCGUGGAGGUCAGCGGAAUAUGUCAUGUAGCGGUGAAAUGCUUAGAUAUGACAUAGAACACCAAUUGCGAAGGCAGCUGGCUACGCGAAUAUUGACACUGAGGCACGAAAGCGUGGGGAUCAAACAGGAUUAGAUACCCUGGUAGUCCACGCCCUAAACUAUGGAUACUCGACAUCAGCGAUACACAGUUGGUGUCUGAGCGAAAGCAUUAAGUAUCCCACCUGGGAAGUACGAUCGCAAGAUUGAAACUCAAAGGAAUUGACGGGGGCCCGCACAAGCGGUGGAGCAUGUGGUUUAAUUCGAAGCAACUCGAAGAACCUUACCAGGGCUCGAACGGUGGCUUAUAUCCGCUGA
Molecule: ribosomal RNA, 662 nt
Filed under: uncultured Bacteroidota bacterium
Lineage: Bacteria; Pseudomonadati; Bacteroidota
Description: bacterial SSU rRNA
Rfam family: Bacterial small subunit ribosomal RNA
Source: RNAcentral